UUCUCAUUGUAGGGAAACUGAUUGAUAUUAACAUGACGUGUUAACGGCUUUACAAUAGGCACAUUAUCCAGUAGAGUUUAGUUGUUUCUUACUUUUACAACGGCUCCAAGCGAAGCUUAGAAACGAACCAAACGAUUCAUUCGCGAGGCAAGAUAGCACACAUCCUUCCACGCCGUAAGCAUUUCACUGGUACAGGACACGAGGAGAGAAAAGGUCAGUCUCUUGAGAAGUUCAGCCAACUUUCUGAGCGUAAAUAAGUUUGCAGUUGCUAACCUCGGGGUAGCAGUCCUGAUGUACUAUAGUUUGGUUGUGUGGAUUAACAUGAACCACGCAAGAUAUUCUCCCCUGCAAGAAGCCAAGAACAAUCAUUAAAUCCUUGUUCGAUUAUUCCUAUCCCAUGUGGAUUGGAUGAGAUUAGAAAAAAUAUAAAAGAUUUUGAUUUGUUUGGGAUUUAAACCCACCGUUAAGCCAUGUGGAUUGGAUGAUAUUGAGUCGGUUUAAAUCUAUAGUAAGUUAAAAUACAUCUCAAUCCAUUUCAAUAUACUAUACUCCAAUCCACGUGAAAUUAUAAUAACCGAACAAGGCCUCAAUCUUAUCCAAUCCACCUAGAUUGAGAGCAAAACGAACAUAGCCUGAAUCUUGAUUCAGAAGGACAACACGUGGAUCAUACGGAGUAUACAGUGCAAGAAAAAGAACCAAUAACGUUCACUUCUGGACAAUAUUUUAAGCCUAAUAUUCAUCCAAAUCUUUUUGUUUACUGCAACAAUAAAAACCUCUAGCUUGUGCGAGCUACAGGCACUGGUGGAUCUUUCACAAAAUUGUAAAUAAAAAAUUGUUUGCUUAUACGAAAUUUGAAUACAAUAUACAAGAAUAAAUAAAGUAACAAUAGCAACCCAACCCAGGAAUUUGACAGAUAGCCAUUAGAUCAAUGGAACCAUGAACAGUCUUGCAGUCAUACAACAACAUUACCAGUUUAUCACCAUAGAGCUAUGUUAAUAAACCACCUAUUUUACAGAAAUAUAGUAACACAAAUACACACAUAGAAGUACUUCUCUAGCAUGUGAAACCAAAAAAGGGUAGAAUUAAAAGUAGUUCCAGCAGAAAAUUUUCUAAUUUCUAGGAUAUUGCAAUUUUUUCAAUAAAAUGAAGAACCAGGCCUACUGCAAUGGAAAUUCCACAAUGAAAACUUUGCACUGGUCAUCAGUCUCCAUGUAAUCAGUGGAACAAAACUAACCAUGGCACAGGAUUACGCAUAGGCUUAUAAAUAUGACCUGCUCCUCUAAAGCCUAAUCCUCCAACAAUAUUCUGGAAGAGAGAAAAAAGAGGAAGAUUUGUUGUUUCAUGGCUAAAACAACUGUAUCUUGUUGCAGCUAUAUGCCAAAACAACUAUAUCCAAAUGCAAAAACCAAGUAGGGCAACUUGACAUGCCUUAUAUCUAUCAACAUUGCUUAAGGCUUUACUUGACAAAUUAAGAUGAACACUUCAUAUUUUAUUCUAGCAGAUAGCAGGAUUACGAAAAAACAACAUCCAUGCUACACUGUUUCAUUUGUUCAAUGAGACAAUAGUUUUCCUCAGUUCCUAAGUGGAAAGUGCAAGCGAUAAAUUUCAUUAACUAGCACUGUCUUUUCCUUUGAACGGAAAUCCUUCAUUUGGGCAUUAAAAACAAAAAAUACUUAAGCAAUAUAGCCUCCAUACCAGUAGUUCCAUAAAUCCGUAGAGAAGUGGUACCACGAAGUGAGAAAUGAUAACAGUUAAAGACACAAGGAACAUGUGAAAUGUUGACGAGUAUUCUUCUUCUCAUGUGUUAUUAGAUCUAUCACUACUCUCCCUCUUACUAGGUAUCCCUUAAUGAUUG
This 1855-nucleotide long non-coding RNA is filed under the name Zea mays. Its description in RNAcentral is "long non-coding RNA (ZMAY_LNC002922)". The record is from RNAcentral. Lineage: Eukaryota; Viridiplantae; Streptophyta; Magnoliopsida; Poales; Poaceae.